Molecule: RNA transcript, 4168 nt
Organism: Pan troglodytes (chimpanzee)
Lineage: Eukaryota; Metazoa; Chordata; Mammalia; Primates; Hominidae
Exons: 4
Source: RefSeq, a predicted model, not a curated record
CCCGCCCGCUCCCGAGGCUCUAGGGCGGCCUCCUGGCCGCUGCCUUCUCGGACCCAGGGUCUUCGGCCUGGGCUCCACACCUCAGGCCCCUCAAGUAAUUGGCCUCUUGGUGGCCGGGCACUGCCUUUCCGGCUGCUCUCUGCACCCGUCUGCCCCUCCGGCCUCCCCUGGCGGCUACAGGCGUCCGGGGCCCUCGCUCCCCAGCUCCAGGCGUCCCGGGAGCCAGGCGCGCAGCGGGGCGAGUUCUUGUGUCCGUGUGAGCGCGGACGUGUGUAUGCGUGCGCGUGCACGAGCGUGAGUGUGCGUGAGCGUGAGUUUGAGUGUGCGUGAGGGUGUGAAUGUGUACAUGUACACGAAUGUGAGUGUGAGUGUGCAUGAGCGUGAGCGUGCGUGUGCGUGCGAGUGUGCACGAGCGUGACUGUGAGUGUGCGUGCGUGGAAGCGCGGCGGGGAGCCUGGCUGAAGGCCUGCUGCCUGCAUGGCUGUCAGAGAAAAACAGAAGUGGGAGCCUGCUGCGGGCUCCGAGAGGACUUGAUGGGAGCCCUGGCGCGCGCUGGGCACCGCGCGGUGGGCCCAGCCCAGUUAUGAACAUGUUGAGACCUAGGAGGCCAAGAGGACCCACCUAAAACCCUCCCCCGUUAAGGGCUGAUGUGGUACCCCUGCAAACCCACUCCCUCGGGGCAGGAGAUGCCUUCUCUGCAGAGUCCUGUUUCUGAAAUCUGUGCAGUGUGUCCAGCCCUAGCAGCACGAGAUCAAAUUUUCCUUAGAUAUCAACCAAAUGGCUUUCCUCGGAAGCUCAGGGGCGACCCACAGAGCGAGGGAGGGCCUUCUCCUGCCACCUCACCAGCGCAGUCAGAACUGAUAUUUCUAUGAGAUGCCAGGCGUUUUGCUGCUGUCUUUGGUGACAACGAUGGAAAUGCCAUUUUGCACAGACCGGGAGAACAAUAUUGCCAAGAAUAUCUGGAUGGAUGGAGGUGGCCGGCAAAUCGUCAGAAGCAACUCAGACAGUCCAGAGGAGGAUGGCGCAGAGCCAGAGGAGGCACAGGGAGGCGGCAGGCAGAUCUGAGAGGCAUCACCAAGGCAGCACUAAGGAAGGAGGGUAGGGACAGUGACUGCCUCGGGCUGCUGCAGCUCAGGAGGCCGAAUGAUGCCCUUCACCAAGCAACACACGAUUGUAGGUUUAAUUAUUUUCAAAAGACUUCGCCCUGCUCUGUAGGAUUAGCGGCUCGAUUGGCAUUCUGCCUGCUUCACAGAUGUGCCAGCCGAGGCUUGGACAAAUGCAGUAAUUUGCCUGUGAUCUUGUAGCUAGCAAGGGCUGAAACCAGAACUAGGGCCUCUGCUCCAAACUGAGCACUGUUUUGACUGUUCCACAGCUACUUCCCAGGACCCCACAGAACAGCCAAUGCAGGGAACUGUGCCCCCAUCCGCUUCCUUUGGGACUGCCUUCCUCUGUCCCCUUGGUGCUCAGGGCCCUACGUUUUGCCUCUGUUGGGGCCGGCUGCUGACUGGCACUGCCUGGUGCCCUCCUGGCUCCUCCCACAGUUUCCCAGACCCCGGAGGUCCCAGCACUCACACUGCGGGGCCGACAAACAGCAGGUGUCCUUGCGUCUGACUAAAAUGACAUCCACUUAGUGUGGUGACAUUGGUUAUUCUGGGUUGCCCAGAUGCUUAGCUCGUUGUUGAAUGUGAGAACUGGGGAGAACUAAUUUCUUCUUAAUUCAUGUCCUCUUUGUUAGUGGAACAAUUUCAUUUCAAAAUGAAAACACACUUGGGAGAAAUUUUUAAAAAGGGAUUCUAGUAGUGAAGAGAUGGAGAACAGCUGUUCAGGAAUCUUUAUUCCUUUCCACUCUGCCCCAGCUCCCUGGAUCCUACCCCAGCACCCCAGGCCAUUUAAUCACUCUGUUCCCUGCCCUUUCUGAGCUCUUCCUUCCUUAAUUGCUCAUAACUAGCAUCUCAACACUUCAUGAUUGUCUCCCAGAUAUGGGUUGGGGUUGUCAUCCAGUGGGAACCUGGGUUUUCUAGCUGGUGAAGACACUCCUGCAGGCAUGAACCUUGUUUUGGUUUGGUUGUUACUCUCCGUUUCCGCAUACCCUCCACAGUGCUUGAGACAUAAUAGUAGCUCAACAGAGGGGGUGCCGUGGCUCACGCCUGUAAUCCCAGUACCUUGGGAGGCCAAGGUGGGCAGAUCGCUUGAGUGCAAGAGUUCAAGAUCAGACUGGACAACAUAAUGAAACCUCAUGUCUACCACAAAAAAAAAAAAAAAAAAAAAAAAUAGCUGGGUAUGGUGGCACACACCUGCAGUCCCAGCUACUCGGGAGGCUGAGACAAGAGGAUCGCUUGAGCCCAGGAGGUUGAGGCUGCAGUGAGCCAUGAUGGCGCCACUGCACCCCAACCUGAGCAGCAGAGCAAGACCCUGUCUCACACACACACAAAAAGUAGCUCAAUAAAUGCAUGACUGGAUCUCACCUGAGGAGGGAAGAGUGAAGCGAAAGGCGAUGAAUUGGAAUCACCCUGGCGGCCUCUUUAAACCAGACACCCUCAAUCUGUACUUACACACAUUGGCACCCACAAGGGGAGCUGACUGAAGGCUGCAACGUGAGUAGCAAUACAGUGGUGACGGCCACCGAUUAUGAAAUAGGACACAGGGAUACAGCGGAAACACUCCCCAUGGAUAGGGCAUGUGGUGAGAGGCUCUUCUCAGAGUCACAUUCUGCUGGAGCUGGCUCCUGGCUCACACGAGCCGGCCGUGCACAUCUCUCUAGCGCCUGGUUCAGACUCUUCUCUUCUGAGGCUGGAAGUUGGCCUUGGUGGGGGCAGCUCGUGGGGUGCCCCAGAGCCGGUUAGUGACCGUGGCCCCGCACAGCCUGCUUGGUCUCCUGCUGUGUUACCAGGGAAUGGGUUCUUGAGCAGCAAUUGUGCCCCCGUGGCAAAGGGAAGCGAACACAGACUUUGAGGGUUUGCUUUUUAAACACUUGAGGUCUCAUAAGGCCUUAGUCCAGAUGUAAGCAGAAAACCUGGGUCUCCAUGGCCUCAGACCAGCCAGCUCCCAAGCCCAAACCUCACCUUUAACAUGGCACAGAAUCUUACAAAACUCUUCCCAAGAUAUCAGUAAUAAUAGGUCAUGUUGAUGUGGCUCUUAAGAUGGGCCAAGCUCUAGUGCAAAGAACUUUCUAUGCAUUAAUCAUUUAAUCCUUUCGAAAACCCUAUUGGGUGGGUAACAGUGUUUCCCUCCAAGUUGAGGAAACCGAGUGCUACAAGCUGAAUUGUGUGUCCCUAAAUGCUAUGUGGAAGUCCUCACCCCAGAACCUCAGGGCGUGGCCUUAUUCAGAAGCAGUGUCCUUGCUGAUGGAAUGAGUUAGGCUGAGGUCAGGCUGGAGUGGGCAGGGGCUACUCCAAUAUGACUGUGUCUUUCUGUGUCCGAAUUGGUGGGUUAUUGGUCUCACUGACUUCAAGAAUGAAGCCGCGGACCCUCGCGGUGAGUGUUACAGUUCUUAAAGGCGGCGUGUCCGGAGUUUGUUCCUUCUGAUGUUCGGAUGUGUUCAGAGUUUCUUCCUUCUGGUGGGUUCGUGGUCUCGCUGGCUCAGUAGUGAAGCUGCAGACCUUAGCGUGAGUGUUACAGCUCUUAAGGCAGAGCGUCUGGAGUUGUUCGUUCCUCCUGGUGGGCUCGUGGUCUCACUGGCUUCAGGAGUGAAGCUGCAGACCUUCGUAGUGAGUGUUACAGCUCAUAAAGGCAGUGUGGACCCAAAGAGUGAGCAGCAGCAAGAUUUAUUGCAAAGAGAGAAAGAACAAAGCCUCCACAGUUUGGAAGGGGACUGCAGCGGGUUGCAACUGCUGGCUCGGGCAGCCUGCCUUUAUUCUCUUAUCUGGCCCCACCCACAUAGUGCUGAUUGGUAGAGCCGAGUGGUCUGUUUUGACAGGGCGCUGAUUGGUGCGUUUACAAUCCCUGAGAUAGACACAAAGGUUCUCCAAGUUCCCACCAGACUCAGGAGCCCAGCUGGCUUCACCCAGUGGAUCUUGCACUGGGGCUGCAGGUGGAGCUGCUUGCCAGUCCCGUGCUGUGCGCCUGCACUCCUCAGCCCUUGGGUGGUCGAUGGGACUGGGCGCCAUGGAGCAGGGGGCAGUGUUCGUUGGGAAGGCUCGGGCUGCACAGGAGCCCACGGAGGCGGGGG